UGGGGAAUUUUGGACAAUGGGGGGAAACCCUGAUCCAGCCAUCCCGCGUGUGCGAUGAAGGCCUUCGGGUUGUAAAGCACUUUUGGCAGGAAAGAAACGUCGCGGGUUAAUACCCCGCGAAACUGACGGUACCUGCAGAAUAAGCACCGGCUAACUACGUGCCAGCAGCCGCGGUAAUACGUAGGGUGCAAGCGUUAAUCGGGGAUUACUGGGCGUAAAGCGUGCGCAGGCGGUUCGGAAAGAAAGAUGUGAAAUCCCAGAGCUUAACUUUGGAACUGCAUUUUUAACUACCGGGCUAGAGUGUGUCAGAGGGAGGUGGAAUUCCGCGUGUAGCAGUGAAAUGCGUAGAUAUGCGGAGGAACACCGAUGGCGAAGGCAGCCUCCUGGGAUAACACUGACGCUCAUGCACGAAAGCGUGGGGGAGCAAACAGGAUUAGAUACCCUGGUAGUCCACGCCCUAAACGAUGUCAACUAGCUGUUGGGGGCCUUCGGGCCUUGGUAGCGCAGCUAACGCGUGAAGUUGACCGCCUGGGGGAGUACGGUCGGCAAGAUUAAAACUCAAAUGAAUUGACGGGGGUCAUAGCUG
RNAcentral lists this ribosomal RNA (586 nucleotides) under uncultured bacterium. RNAcentral's name for it is "partial 16S ribosomal RNA". It matches the Rfam family "Bacterial small subunit ribosomal RNA", at positions 355 to 928 of the family's 1533-position model. The record is from RNAcentral.